GGUUAAGCGACUAAGCGUACACGGUGGAUGCCCUGGCAGUCAGAGGCGAUGAAGGACGUGCUAAUCUGCGAUAAGCGUCGGUAAGGUGAUAUGAACCGUUAUAACCGGCGAUUUCCGAAUGGGGAAACCCAGUGUGAUUCGUCACACUAUCAUUAACUGAAUCCAUAGGUUAAUGAGGCGAACCGGGGGAACUGAAACAUCUAAGUACCCCGAGGAAAAGAAAUCAACCGAGAUUCCCCCAGUAGCGGCGAGCGAACGGGGAGCAGCCCAGAGCCUGAAUCAGUGUGUGUGUUAGUGGAAGCGUCUGGAAAGGCGCGCGAUACAGGGUGACAGCCCCGUACACAAAAAUGCACAUGCUGUGAGCUCGAUGAGUAGGGCGGGACACGUGGUAUCCUGUCUGAAUAUGGGGGGACCAUCCUCCAAGGCUAAAUACUCCUGACUGACCGAUAGUGAACCAGUACCGUGAGGGAAAGGCGAAAAGAACCCCGGCGAGGGGAGUGAAAAAGAACCUGAAACCGUGUACGUACAAGCAGUGGGAGCACAGAGCAAUCUGUGUGACUGCGUACCUUUUGUAUAAUGGGUCAGCGACUUAUAUUCUGUAGCAAGGUUAACCGAAUAGGGGAGCCGAAGGGAAACCGAGUCUUAACUGGGCGUUAAGUUGCAGGGUAUAGACCCGAAACCCGGUGAUCUAGCCAUGGGCAGGUUGAAGGUUGGGUAACACUAACUGGAGGACCGAACCGACUAAUGUUGAAAAAUUAGCGGAUGACUUGUGGCUGGGGGUGAAAGGCCAAUCAAACCGGGAGAUAGCUGGUUCUCCCCGAAAGCUAUUUAGGUAGCGCCUCGUGAAUUCAUCUCCGGGGGUAGAGCACUGUUUCGGCAAGGGGGUCAUCCCGACUUACCAACCCGAUGCAAACUGCGAAUACCGGAGAAUGUUAUCACGGGAGACACACGGCGGGUGCUAACGUCCGUCGUGAAGAGGGAAACAACCCAGACCGCCAGCUAAGGUCCCAAAGUCAUGGUUAAGUGGGAAACGAUGUGGGAAGGCCCAGACAGCCAGGAUGUUGGCUUAGAAGCAGCCAUCAUUUAAAGAAAGCGUAAUAGCUCACUGGUCGAGUCGGCCUGCGCGGAAGAUGUAACGGGGCUAAACCAUGCACCGAAGCUGCGGCAGCGACGCUUAUGCGUUGUUGGGUAGGGGAGCGUUCUGUAAGCCUGUGAAGGUGUGCUGUGAGGCAUGCUGGAGGUAUCAGAAGUGCGAAUGCUGACAUAAGUAACGAUAAAGCGGGUGAAAAGCCCGCUCGCCGGAAGACCAAGGGUUCCUGUCCAACGUUAAUCGGGGCAGGGUGAGUCGACCCCUAAGGCGAGGCCGAAAGGCGUAGUCGAUGGGAAACAGGUUAAUAUUCCUGUACUUGGUGUUACUGCGAAGGGGGGACGGAGAAGGCUAUGUUGGCCGGGCGACGGUUGUCCCGGUUUAAGCGUGUAGGCUGGUUUUCCAGGCAAAUCCGGAAAAUCAAGGCUGAGGCGUGAUGACGAGGCACUACGGUGCUGAAGCAACAAAUGCCCUGCUUCCAGGAAAAGCCUCUAAGCAUCAGGUAACAUCAAAUCGUACCCCAAACCGACACAGGUGGUCAGGUAGAGAAUACCAAGGCGCUUGAGAGAACUCGGGUGAAGGAACUAGGCAAAAUGGUGCCGUAACUUCGGGAGAAGGCACGCUGAUAUGUAGGUGAAGUCCCUCGCGGAUGGAGCUGAAAUCAGUCGAAGAUACCAGCUGGCUGCAACUGUUUAUUAAAAACACAGCACUGUGCAAACACGAAAGUGGACGUAUACGGUGUGACGCCUGCCCGGUGCCGGAAGGUUAAUUGAUGGGGUUAGCGGUAACGCGAAGCUCUUGAUCGAAGCCCCGGUAAACGGCGGCCGUAACUAUAACGGUCCUAAGGUAGCGAAAUUCCUUGUCGGGUAAGUUCCGACCUGCACGAAUGGCGUAAUGAUGGCCAGGCUGUCUCCACCCGAGACUCAGUGAAAUUGAACUCGCUGUGAAGAUGCAGUGUACCCGCGGCAAGACGGAAAGACCCCGUGAACCUUUACUAUAGCUUGACACUGAACAUUGAGCCUUGAUGUGUAGGAUAGGUGGGAGGCUUUGAAGUGUGGACGCCAGUCUGCAUGGAGCCGGCCUUGAAAUACCACCCUUUAAUGUUUGAUGUUCUAACGUUGGCCCCUGAUCGGGGUUGCGGACAGUGUCUGGUGGGUAGUUUGACUGGGGCGGUCUCCUCCUAAAGAGUAACGGAGGAGCACGAAGGUUGGCUAAUCCUGGUCGGACAUCAGGAGGUUAGUGCAAUGGCAUAAGCCAGCUUGACUGCGAGCGUGACGGCGCGAGCAGGUGCGAAAGCAGGUCAUAGUGAUCCGGUGGUUCUGAAUGGAAGGGCCAUCGCUCAACGGAUAAAAGGUACUCCGGGGAUAACAGGCUGAUACCGCCCAAGAGUUCAUAUCGACGGCGGUGUUUGGCACCUCGAUGUCGGCUCAUCACAUCCUGGGGCUGAAGUAGGUCCCAAGGGUAUGGCUGUUCGCCAUUUAAAGUGGUACGCGAGCUGGGUUUAGAACGUCGUGAGACAGUUCGGUCCCUAUCUGCCGUGGGCGCUGGAGAACUGAGGGGGGCUGCUCCUAGUACGAGAGGACCGGAGUGGACGCAUCACUGGUGUUCGGGUUGUCAUGCCAAUGGCACUGCCCGGUAGCUAAAUGCGGAAGAGAUAAGUGCUGAAAGCAUCUAAGCACGAAACUUGCCCCGAGAUGAGUUCUCCCUGACUCCUUGAGAGUCCUGAAGGAACGUUGAAGACGACGACGUUGAUAGGCCGGGUGUGUAAGCGCAGCGAUGCGUUGAGCUAACCGGUACUAAUGAACCGUGAGGCUUAACCUU
RNAcentral lists this ribosomal RNA (2908 nucleotides) under Escherichia coli. Its description in RNAcentral is "23S ribosomal RNA". It matches the Rfam family "Bacterial large subunit ribosomal RNA". The record is from RNAcentral. RNAcentral also lists the same sequence under 1 other name. Lineage: Bacteria; Pseudomonadati; Pseudomonadota; Gammaproteobacteria; Enterobacterales; Enterobacteriaceae.